RNAcentral lists this unclassified non-coding RNA (303 nucleotides) under Hevea brasiliensis (rubber tree). The record is from RNAcentral. Lineage: Eukaryota; Viridiplantae; Streptophyta; Magnoliopsida; Malpighiales; Euphorbiaceae.
UCCUCCUUGGCAGCACCAAGCUCUUGCUGCAUAGCCAUCCGAUCUUCAAUCAGCCGACGAUUAUCACCAAGGAGCCCACGGAUUUCAGCAUGCUGUAUUUCAAGUUCAUCCUCCAACAAGGCAGGGUGAGGAGGUGGAGGUGGAUGUGGCAAAGGAGGGCCACGAAUAAAAGGUCUCUCACGGGGGAACCCACGAAGGUCAUUAUAGGACUCACGAUGAAUUCGAUUCCUCCCAGCCAUUUUAAAUUGCUCUGUGAAGAAGGGAUAGAGACUCAGCUAGCUUCUCAGGAGCUUGCCUUUUCGG